This 497-nucleotide ribosomal RNA is filed under the name uncultured bacterium. Its description in RNAcentral is "partial 16S ribosomal RNA". It matches the Rfam family "Bacterial small subunit ribosomal RNA", at positions 28 to 507 of the family's 1533-position model. The record is from RNAcentral.
GAUGAACGCUGGCGGCGUGCCUAAUACAUGCAAGUCGAGCGAACAGACGAUGAGGUUGCUCCUCUGACGGUAGCGGCGUACGUGUGAGUAACACGUGGAUAACCUACCUAUAGGACUAGGAUAACUUCGUGAAACUGGUGCUGAUUCCGUGUAAUUUAUUGAACCGCAUGGUUCAAUAGUUAAAGACGGUUUUGCUGUCCCUUAUGGAUGUAUCCGCGCCGCAUUAGAUAUUUGGUAAGGUAACGGCUUACCGUGGCGAUGAUGCGUAGCCGACCGGAGAGGGGGAACCGCGCCACUGGGACUGAGACGCGAUACAGAGUCCUACGGGAGGCCGAAGUAGGGAAGGUACGGAAAUGGGCGGAAGCCUGCAGGAGCAACGCCAGGCGAAUGAAGCAGGUCUUCGGAUCGUAAGACUCUGUUAUUAGGGAAGACCACAUGUGUAAGUAACGAUGCAUGUCUUGACGGUACCUACACAGAAAGCAACGGCUAACUACGUG